RNAcentral lists this ribosomal RNA (467 nucleotides) under uncultured bacterium. RNAcentral's name for it is "bacterial SSU rRNA". It matches the Rfam family "Bacterial small subunit ribosomal RNA", at positions 339 to 797 of the family's 1533-position model. The record is from RNAcentral.
AUACGGGAGGCAGCAGUGAGGAAUAUUGCGCAAUGGGGGCAACCCUGACGCAGCGACGCCGCGUGAGUGAGGAAGGCCUUCGGGUCGUAAAGCUCUGUCAAAGGGAAAGAAAUGUAUAAUGGCUAAUACCUGUUAUAUUUGACGGUACCCUUAAAGGAAGCACCGGCUAACUCCGUGCCAGCAGCCGCGGUAAUACGGAGGGUGCAAGCGUUGUUCGGAAUCACUGGGCGUAAAGGGCGCGCAGGCGGUUUGGUAAGUCAGAUGUGAAAGCCCACGGCUUAACCGUGGAAGUGCAUUUGAAACUGCCAGACUUGAGUACCAGAGGGGAAAGUGGAAUUCCCGGUGUAGAGGUGAAAUUCGUAGAUAUCGGGAGGAAUACCGGUGGCGAAGGCGACUUUCUGGCUGGAUACUGACGCUGAGGCGCGAAAGCGUGGGGAGCAAACAGGAUUAGAUACCCUGGUAGUCUG